GGUUAUCAUAUAUGUUUGGGAAUUGGCCCAAUCGUUUCUACCCCGUUACCGAAAAUAACGGGACUAUGAUAGACGCUUUUUU
Molecule: non-coding RNA, 82 nt
Filed under: Candidatus Massilimicrobiota merdigallinarum
Lineage: Bacteria; Bacillati; Bacillota; Erysipelotrichia; Erysipelotrichales; Erysipelotrichaceae
Also listed under: 1 other name
Description: Purine riboswitch
Rfam family: Purine riboswitch aptamer
About the family: Riboswitches are metabolite binding domains within certain messenger RNAs that serve as precision sensors for their corresponding targets. Allosteric rearrangement of mRNA structure is mediated by ligand binding, and this results in modulation of gene expression.
Source: RNAcentral